This 576-nucleotide long non-coding RNA is filed under the name Heterocephalus glaber (naked mole-rat). RNAcentral describes it as "lncRNA (ENSHGLG00000046014.1)". Lineage: Eukaryota; Metazoa; Chordata; Mammalia; Rodentia; Bathyergidae. The record is from RNAcentral.
AUAAAUCUCAGGAAAAGUGGGGACAGCUCCCUGGACCGGGGCUCCACUCUCUCUGGGAAUUUUGCCAGAGCCCGCCAUAGCAAAAACCGGAAGUUGGUAUGGUCGAGUCUUUCCUGACAGUUGGUCUGCAGCACUAACUGCUCCUGAUACAGAGCCCCGGCGCCUCCUUCCUGGGUCUGCUCCCAGCUUCUGUCUCCAGCGGGCUUCUCCUCUUCUAUGUCCCUCUGCAGUUCUUUCUCUGCAGAGAAAAAGUCAUCAUAGCAUUGAGAAUCACCCAAAAUUAAACAGAAGAAUCACCGUAACAAACAGCACCUGAAGUCAUUCCAGAUGUUCAUUUGACUAAAAAUUAAAUUCCACUCUAAGAAACACCUGCUCAAACAUGCUAGGCAAGUGCCUCACCUGGGAAAAGUCUUCAAAACUAUACUUUAAAAAAGUUUGUUCAGGAUUGGGAUUCCUACUUGUUUCACAUAAUGGAAACCUGACAUACGCAAACCAAGAAAAUAAUGAGGAAGAAGGCUAAGACUCAACUUUCAAAGUGGUUUUGUUAGGAAACAUAGUGCUUUACUCUUGGCUUAU